This 532-nucleotide ribosomal RNA is filed under the name uncultured bacterium. Its description in RNAcentral is "partial 16S ribosomal RNA". It matches the Rfam family "Bacterial small subunit ribosomal RNA", at positions 899 to 1397 of the family's 1533-position model. The record is from RNAcentral.
ACUCAAAUGAAUUGACGGAGGUCCGUACCAGCGGUGGAGCAUGUGGUUUAAUUCGAUAUAACGCGCAGAACCUUACCAAUCCUUGACGGUUGAAAUUAGUUAAAAUUAGAAUUUUAUUACAAUGAUAAGAUAAUAUAAAAUUAUCUUGCAUUAUUUCAAGCAGGUGCUGCAUGGCUGUCGGCAGCUCGUGUCGUGAGAUGUUUGGUUCAGUCCUUAAACGAGCGCAACCCCUGUAUUUAGUUAUUUUAAUAUUUACAAAUAUAAAUAUUAAAAAUUAAAACAGACUGCCCAUGAAUAAAGGGUAGAAGGUAGGGAAGACGUCAAGUCUUCAUGGCCUUUAUGGAUUGGGCUACACACAUGCUACAUUGGUAGUUACAAUGGGAAGCAAUAAUGUGAAUUAAAGCUAAACCUGAAAAGCUAUCUUAGUUCAGAUUGUUCUCUGAAAGUCGAGAAUAUGAAGUUGGAAUCGCUAGUAAUCGCAGAUCAGCAUGCUGCGGUGAACUGUUUUCCGGGCCUCGUACACACCGCCCGU